UUUUUUGAGACGGAGUCUCUCUCUGUCGCCCAGGCUGGAGUGCAGUGGCGCAAUCUGGGCUCACUGCAAGCUCCACCUCCUGGGUUCACACCAUUCUCCUGUCUCAGCCUCUCCCAGUAGCUGGGACUACAGGCGCCCACCAUCACGCCCGGCUAAUUUUUUGUAUUUUUAGUAGAGACGGGGUUUCACCAUGUUAGCCAGGAUGGUCUCGAUCUCCUGACCUUGUGAUCCGCCCGCCUCGGCCUCCCAAAGUGCUGGGACUACAGGCGUGAGCCACCGCGCCCGGCCUUUUUUUUUUUUUUUUUUUUUUACCAGGUGGGCUUUUGGCCUCCCUCUCCUUGUGCAAACUGAUAAAAGGCCUCAGGAUUUUUGAGCUGCCCUUACCCCUCCCCUUGUUUAGAUACAUGUUUUCUAGUAACACAAUUUGUCUCUUCUUGCCUUCAGGCCAUCAUACUCCAAACAGUCAUGCAGCUGGAGAGGCGGACAAUGGCCCAUUCUGCUGGGAACCCUUAAAUAGGCCUCUGAGGGACUUUGACUGCUGUUUUGCCAAAACAGCACCCCCUGUCAGCAGGGUGAGUAAAGAGGAGAAAACAAUCAACCUUCUAGAAUGAAUAUGAAGACUGUCACAAAAUAAUUGCAAAGUACCAGUCACUCUUCCCCAAACUGCCCAGAUCGCAAAUCUAGAUCAUCCAUCUGGUCACAUUGUUCUGGUUUGUAACUCAUUACUUUAUUCAUUAAUUUUACAACCACAUAUAUAUGUACAGUCAUUUAAACAGAGUCUACAGAAAA
This is a long non-coding RNA of Symphalangus syndactylus (siamang), 789 nucleotides long. RefSeq lists it as uncharacterized. Lineage: Eukaryota; Metazoa; Chordata; Mammalia; Primates; Hylobatidae. The record is from RefSeq and is a predicted model, not a curated record.